RNA transcript from Myotis brandtii (Brandt's bat), 6765 nucleotides. RefSeq lists it as uncharacterized. The transcript is spliced from 3 exons. Lineage: Eukaryota; Metazoa; Chordata; Mammalia; Chiroptera; Vespertilionidae. The record is from RefSeq and is a predicted model, not a curated record.
AAAUAAAAUAUAAUUUCCUUUUUCUCCCUCAGGUUGCACAUAGGCAAAGGUGUACAAUUGGAAUGUAAAGGUGAAGGUGAUGUUUGGGUCAGGUGCCUCAGUGACCAUGCAGUCUUUGUACAGAGUUACUACUUAGACAGAGAAGCUGGGCGUGCACCUGGAGAUGCUGUUCAUAAGAUUUACCCAAGUGCGUAUAUAAAGGUCUUUGAUUUACGGCAGUGUCAUCGUCAGAUGCAGCAGCAGGCGGCCACUGCACAAGCUGCAGCAGCUGCCCAGGCAGCGGCCGUGGCAGGAAACAUCCCUGGCCCGGGAUCAGUAGGUGGCAUAGCUCCAGCUAUCAGUUUGUCAGCUGCUGCUGGGAUCGGGGUUGAUGACCUUCGUCGCUUAUGCAUCCUCAGGAUGAGCUUUGUGAAAGGCUGGGGACCGGAUUACCCAAGACAGAGCAUCAAGGAGACCCCUUGCUGGAUUGAGAUUCACUUACACCGGGCCCUUCAGCUCCUAGAUGAAGUACUUCACACCAUGCCUAUUGCCGACCCACAACCUUUAGACUGAAAUCUUUACUGUCGGAGCCCUUAACAUUCAUUGUCAGGAUGGUGGACUGUAACAUACAAUCCUGUUUAUAAUCUGAAGAUAUAUAUCACUUUCGUUCUGCUUUAUCUUUUCAUAAAGGGUUGAACACAUGUUUUGCUGCCUUGCUCCUAGCAGACAGAAACUGGAUUAAAACUCCCCCCACCCCUCCCAUUUAGAACUUUUCAGGCAUGGCUCAGAACUUGAAGGUCAGGAAAAACACAUUCUUAUUAAAUUUACUGCACCAGUUAUGUAUGAAGGAAUCAUUCCAAUCCUGGAAAAUUUAGCCCUUUAAAAUGUCUUAGACCUUUUUCUAUGCAGAACAUUGGUAUAUGUGCUAUUCUAAAGAGUAAACUCAAUAUUGCUAAUUUUAAAGGCAGAGACGUUCUCAAAGUUAAUUCACCUAUGUUAUUUUGUAUGCACGUUGUUAUUGUUGAGCAGACUUUACUCCAAAAUAUUGUGCCAUGUGGGUGAGUUAAUGUUACCAAGAGCAACUUUACUCUGUGUUUAAAAAAUAAGACAGUAAUGUAUUAUAAUCUUUUAUCCAAAAUAUAUUUUCUGCAAGUUAAACUAGUGAAGAUGAUUUCAAUUCAGAUUGUCUUGCGACUUCAUUUUCUUUUCACCAAGGCAAAACACUAAUCUCUGUGAAUACUGAGAAUUCCUUAAAAUUAUCAGACAAAGAAAUACCAUUUACAAGUUCAGUAGUUAUCCCAGUUGGAUAACGAUUUCUCGAGUAGUAUAACAUUUCCCUGUUAAGCAGUAGAUGUAGUCUAUAUUUCCAGGCACAGGGCUGGUUACCAAGAAGCCUAGAAGAGCCAUUUCUUUCCUUCAUUAAUUCAUAGGGAAAGGUUUUGUAUUUUUAAAAACACUAAAAGCAGUGUCACUCCUCCAGCUCCCCAUUCUGCAAAGGUGGCAGUGCUUAGAGUAAAUGAUGCGCAUUUUGGAAACUGCUAAGUUCUAUGUCAGAUUCUGUGCGGACUAAUGGAAACGUUACAGCUCAUAAUAGGCAGUUUGGAUAUUUUUGUACUUGAUUUGAUGUGACUUCUUUUUCAUAUACUCUUUAAAUCAUGUAUGUUAUGACAUUGUUUAAAAUUCAGUUUUUGUAUCUUGGGGCAAGACUGCAGACUUUUUAUACCUUUUGGUUUUUCUAAGCCCUUUGCCAUCAAUGAUCAUAUCAAUUGGCGGUGACUUUGUAUAGAGAUUUUAAGUAGAAAAGUUGCAAAUGUAUUGACUGUACCACAGACACAACAUGUAUGCUUUUUACUUAGCUAGUAGCAUAAAUAAAACCGAAUCUCAACAUACAAAGUUGAAUUCUAGGUUUGAUUUUUAAGUUUUUCCUUUUGCACUUUUGAGUCCCACCUCAGUGGCGAGACACCUUCUAGGAAAUGGCAGGCGGCAGCCAGUACUGCAGCUUUGGUUUCCCUCGCUCUACCGGGACUUCCCCGGAGACAUGAGGUAGCAAGCGUAGAGUUGGUAUUUUGAAGUUUUAUUUUCUGUAGCAAAAGUAGGCCUUGUUGUCUCCAAGAUAAAGAGGUUGUCUACAGAAUACAUAGUGUGGCAUAAAAUCAAGGAUUGUCUUUCAGACGCUUUUACCGUCUGCUUGGAGGGCCUUUCUAAGCAUAAUAAGAUUCUAAGGUGUGUUCCAAGCUUGAGAAACCCUUAUUAUGCAUGCUGUUAUCCUUAUAUUGGCUUAGAUGAACAAGUCUUCAGCUUCCUUGCUCAGAAGGUGUUCUUACGACCACUCUAGAAACCAAUGGAUUAGCUUAUUGCUGUGAUUCAAAUAGAGAUUUUGAUCCGAGCUACAUGGCUUUUGUUUUCAAAGUGUUUCUCUACCAACAUACUUGUACUCUUGAGUACUAACAACUCCUUUUGUUAAAGACCCCAUUACAACCUGUGAAAGUUUGAUGAUUUAAGUAUUAUUGGCAGAUUUUUAAAAAGGUAUCAUUGUUUCAUAGAAAUUAUUUAUCCCAUUUUACUGUGAAUGAGGAGUAGGAGGAGUGAGAGGAGUUUUAGAAUGGCAUAUUUUAAAAAAUCCAGAUUAUUUGACUAGAGCCAUAAGCAUGCUAUGAUAUAAUCUAUUGCCUCCUUUUCUAUUUUAAGGAAGGUUUUCAUGUUUAAUGAAACAUGAAAUCUGGGUAAUCAUUUGUGGAAAAUAUUUGCAAGGAAGUUUGUCUUCAGGCCUAGCCACCUGUCUUGGUUGCUUUCUGCUAAGAGCCAUACAAGUACAUAAAAGUAUUUGCAGUUAUUAAUUGCUUUAUAUUUGUACCCAGAUGCAAUCACAUGCUUUUGAGAAAACAUCUAGUAUGUUAUGAUCAGUUAUUCCCGAGAGCUUAGUUGUUAAAUGGUAUUUCCAUUUCUUAAAUGUAGUCAUCUUUAAUGAGUAAGAUAAAGGAAUCACUACGUUUACAAUUUAGGGGUACAAUAGUUUCUGCAGUUCUAAGAAUCUGAUUAUUAUAAGGAUAUGAUUCUGAAUGAGUGUUCUCAGCUAUUUCAUAUGUCAAAGACUUUCAAAAUGUUGAAUUUCAGUGAAGGCUGAGUGAGAGGUGAACCAAGUACAUACCUUUAUCAUCCAGUGUGAGGCCCGUUCCACAUUGGUCAGUGCCUUUCAUACUCAAAGGGAAUCCUUUAUGGUGUUGCCUUUAUUUUCCAGGGAGUAGAUUCUUUUGUGAGAUAUAGUCUGUCUCCUUUGUAAAAUAUGCUACGCCUGGUAUACAAAGAUAAUGACAAGAAAUCACUGCCAUAUAACCUUGUUUUUCCAGAAGCAUGGCUCCUUUUUAUUGACCUAACCACUAAAUAGGUCGCCCAUUCCAUUCCUCCUGGAAACAUUGUAGGUUUACAGGUUGGGUGGUCUGGCUUAAGGACAACCAUACUUGAAACAUCAGAGUAAACUGAAUACCUAGUAGCUUUUAAAAUCCAUUUUUUGUGGGGAAGGGUGUGGCAUAAAGGGAGGUAUUUGUAGUAGAAAUUUUGAAGACAAAAUAUAAUGUCCUGUCUUGCAGAUGAUAAAUGUCUUAUUUUAAAAGUAUAUUGCAGUUAUCUUCUUUAUUGUGCCCAUCUGGAGAAGGGAAGUUGUACAUUUUCCCAAGCUGUUCCUUCACUAUCUGUGGAGGUUAAAGAAUAGAAGGUGAAAUAUUUCUGUUCCUGGUUUGGUGGUGACUGGUUAAUAGUUGUUACUCAUUAGCUAUUAUGCAAAAUCAGGUUAGUUUACAUCUGUUUUGAGAAUCUUUUGGAAGAAGCAAUUUUAUUCUGAGUAGGGCAGAAUCCUUUUUGUUCAUAGUUUUUAUAGUUUGCUCCCUUUAUCAUUGAGUCACUUACUGGCAUUUUAUUUAAGGACAGCAAGUUGGGAAAAGGGUAAAUUUAGGUCACGGAGGUGAAUGAGCAUCUGAAAGCAAUUGCCUGUAAAGUCAGUUAACAACUCUUUUGUAGAUGGGGCUUGACAAAGACUAGCAGAUAAUAGAAUGAAGAAAUGCAUUCUUUUUCCUUCUAGAGGCAGAACGCAUCAUCUUGCAGGUGGCUCACUGUAAAUAAUCGCCCAAAUCCUCCUUUGCAAGAUUAUAGAAAUAGGCUAGGAGUAUCUUUUGUGCAAGCCUUUCCCCCCCUUUUUUUUCUUUUCUUCUGACAGCUAGGUAAUUUCUCUUCAGAUAUGUCAGGAAGGAUGUAAAAAGUUAGUGGCCUUAUUCAGAGCAGCAUCCUCGAGCCCAGCCUUGUCCCCAGCACUUGUCCCAGUGUUACUAGGUGGUUUAUCUUGUACGGUUGUGAAAUGGAGUUUUUUGCAUAAUCCAGACUUGCCUUAUUUAAGCAGUAAAACGUUUUUAUUUCAGCCAUUUCUUUGAUGGAGUUAUUUAAUAUGGAUGUCAGAGAACAUACUGGAUAUAUUUCUUUUUGUGCCUAGCUCUCUUCCUCAACUUCACGGGGGCGUAGACAGGGCUGUUUGCCUUUACUAAGUGGUUGCAGACUUGCUGUGGUUUUGAAUGUUUCGUUUUUACCCCUCCCCCUCUCCCCCAUCUUCUCCCUCUCUGACAGUGACACUUGCUGUGCAUUGUUAGUGUACCUCCCCUUAGUACCGCUUCUUCUCUUUCUGAUUCAUUUUUUUCCCCAGCUGCUUGGGCAAGGAAGCCAGAUAACCACACUUAUUAACACUUUCUUUGACUACAAGGGCAAACUGGGACAGGACCCAAGAAACUUCCUGUACACGAUUGAAAGGCCUUCAGUGCUUUGGCGUUUGACUGCUUCGAGUGCUUCUUGAUUCUUGCUCAGUUUCAGGUUGUUGAGGCAGAGAGAAGUGAGUCAUAUUCCUAUUUUCCCCCUUUGCAAGAUUUUUAAAAGGUUUCAUUGCUUCCACUUGAAUGCUGCUCACAUAAAAAUUGGGGUUACAGGGUUACGAAAUUAGGUAUCAAUAGCCAGAGGCAAUACCCUUGCCUAGAGGACACCAACAAAACAAAACAAAACAAAACAAAAAACAAAACAAAACAAAACAAAACACACAAAAAACAAAGCUUGGAAAAUGAGAGGAUCAUUUUUGUUUUGUUUUGGUGUCUCCUUUUGAGCCCUAUGCUCUGGCCUUCCUCCUCCACAGAUAUUUUUGACCUAUAGGUGCCUUUAUGAGAUUUGAGGGUUUGAUAUCCUGCCCCAAGGAGUAGCUAAAGUAAUUGCUGAUGUUUUCAGGGAUUUUACCAUCAGACUUGAGUGAAUGAAUGAACCUCUUUUUUUUCUUUUUUUAACUAGGAAGGACUGAGGAGAUAAGUCUAGUGAAGACAAUCAUUUCUCUUAUGGAUGUGGAUAGUUUUCAGUUUAAGAUGCUUCCUCGGUAGGUCUCUGAGCCAGUGCUCUUGUUCAGCCUGAGACGAAUGACUCCUGGCUCUCCAGCUGUGCUCUGCCACCAAUUUGAUGUAUGACCUUGGGCAAGUCAUUUACCUUCUUUGGGCCUCAGUUGCCUCAUCUGUAAAAUGAGGGAGUUGGACUAGAUGCUUUCUUCCAGCUCUGAAGUGUCAGUGGCCUUGCCUACCUUGCAGCAGUGUUCGAUUUCUUCCUCCCCUUUGCUCUGCUGUUUGAGGGGCUUUUUUACUUAUUUCUACAUUAUUUGAAUGAGACUAGGCUUGCGAUUUUAUUACUAUUCUCCUAUGGACAAAAAGUUACAUAAUACGUCCCUAAGACUUAAAUUCAACCAAAGGCCUAGCACUACCUUGGGGGCUGCCAUAAAUACUUAAAAAAAAAAAAUAGAGAGGGGGAAAAGCCUUCAUUUUAUUUUCCCAUCAUCUCUGUUGAAGGCUUAGUAAGGCUUUUUUUGAGUCAUGACAUUCUAACUUUUGGGGUUGGUAUGUGUGUGACAGCAUCCCCUUAAGGGCUGUGCUGGUAAUUUUUUUUGUUUAACUGAAAUGGAUUGAAAACUUACUGUAAAUGCCUAAUGAUAGUAGAGGUCAUUACUUUGGGUCUUUGGUUUUUUUUAACUCUUCUAUGCUUAGAACAGGGACAUGCCUUUGAACUGCAUCAAUUAAAAUGGUUUGUACAACUCAAUGAAACAUAGUGGAUGAUUAUUCACUUUAUUCUUGGCUCUUUUUAGUCCAUUUUGAUUAGAAGACUUUUGGCUGGAGCAUUUCUUUCAGAGUUCUCUUCCAGCCCAUCGUGGAUGAGUGUAACUAAUGAACUGGGCUUUUACAAGGACCUGAGAGCCUUCAUUAGGGCUGGGUCAGGGGUGGGGGUUGGGGAGUCCUGGUAGAGGCCAGCUCUGUGGUAGCUGGAUGGAACCAGCUGCUGUUGCUAUGACUGCUAGUCACUGACAGAAGGACUCAUGGGUUUGAAUUGGUUAAAAGGCUAAACAUGGAGUCGGCAGGUGUUGGGUUCUGGCCAAUGCCUCAGACAUGUGAUUUAAGGGAAAAGUGUGAAUGCUUGUUGAUGAAAACUUGGUGGGCUGCAGAACCAUUUGGAGGAAGCAGCUGGGGGUGGGAACAGAUUUGGUCGUGGUUUUCCCAGCUCUGCCUCCUCCCCUGAACUCAGAGGAGAGCAGCUACGCUAAAGCUCAGAGAGGAGCCACGCUGAGCUGCUGCUUUGGGGAAACCGGCCAGCUGAAGUGCCCGGCGUUCUCUGUGGCUUUCUGUAUACUUUUUCCCUGGGUGAAGUCUGUGGCUAACAAAUAGUUGAACCUUUCCUGAGAACUCUGUAACAAAGUAUGUUUUUGAUUAAAAGAGAAAGCCAAUUAAA